UUAAAGUGUCUUGGCUAAGGUGUCUUGGCUAAGGUGUCUUGGCUAAGGUGUCUUGGCUAAUGUGUCUUGGCUAAUGUGUCUUGGCUAAGGUGUCUUGGCUAAGGUUUCUUGGCUAAUGUGUCUUGGCUAAAGUGUCUUGGCUUAAGUGUCUUGGCUAAUGUGUCUCGGCUAAGGUGUCUUGGCUAAGGUGUCUUGGCUAAGGUGUCUUGGCUAAGGUGUCUUGACUAAGGUGUCUUGGCUAAGGUGUCUUGGCUUAUGUGUCUCGGCUAAUGUGUCUUGGCUAAGGUGUCUUGGCUAAGGUGUCUUGGCUAAUGUGUCUUGGCUAAGGUGUCUUGGCUAAGGUGUCUUGGCUAAUGUGUCUUGGCUAAAGUGUCUUGGCUUAGGUGUCUUGUCUAAUGUGUCUCGGCUAAGGUGUCUUGGUUAAGGUGUCUUGGCUAAGGUGUCUUGGCUAAGGUGUCUUGGCUAAUGUGUCUCGGCUAAUGUGUCUUGGCUAAGGUGUCUUGGCUAAGGUGUCUUGGCUAAUGUGUCUUGGCUAAUGUGUCUUGGCUAAUGUGUCUCGGCUAAGGUGUCUUGGCUAAAGUGUCUUGGCUAAGGUGUCUUGGCUAAUGUGUCUCGGCUAAUGUGUCUUGGCUAAGGUGUCUUGGCUAAUGUGUCUCGGCUAAUGUGUCUUGGCUAAGGUGUCUUGGCUAAUGUGUCUUGGCUAAUGUGUCUUGACUAAGGUGUCUUGGCUAAUGUGUCUUGGCUAAGGUGUCUUGGCUAAUGUGUCUUGGCUAAGGUGUCUUGGCUAAUGUGUCUUGGCUAAUGUGUCUUGACUAAGGUGUCUUGGCUAAUGUGUCUCGGCUAAUGUGUCUUGGCUAAGGUGUCUUGGCUAAUGUGUCUCGGCUAAUGUGUCUUGGCUAAGGUGUCUUGGCUAAUGUGUCUUGGCUAAUGUGUCUUGACUAAGGUGUCUUGGCUAAUGUGUCUCGGCUAAUGUGUCUUGGCUAAGGUGUCUUGGCUAACGUGUCUUGGCUAAUGUGUCUUGGUCAAGGUGUCUUGGCUAAUGUGUCUUGGCUAAGGUGUCUUGGCUAAGGUGUCUUGUCCAAGGUGUCUUGGCUAAGGUGUCUUGGCUAAUGUGUCUUGGCUAAGGUGUCUUGGCUAAGGUGUCUUGGCUAAGGUGUCUUGGCUAAGGUGUCUUGGCUAAGGUGUCUUGGCUAAUGUGUCUUGGCUAAUGUGUCUCGGCUAAUGUGUCUUGGCUAAUGUGUCUUGGCUAAUGUGUCUUGGCUAAGGUGUCUUGGCUAAUGUGUCUUGGCUAAGGUGUCUUGGCUAAGGUGUCUUGGCUAAUGUGUCUUGGCUAAUGUGUCUUGGCUAAGGUGUCUUGGCUAAGGUUUCUUGGCUAAUGUGUCUUGGCUAAAGUGUCUUGGCUUAAGUGUCUUGGCUAAUGUGUCUCGGCUAAGGUGUCUUGGCUAAGGUGUCUUGGCUAAGGUGUCUUGGCUAAGGUGUCUUGACUAAGGUGUCUUGGCUAAGGUGUCUUGGCUUAUGUGUCUCGGCUAAUGUGUCUUGGCUAAGGUGUCUUGGCUAAGGUGUCUUGGCUAAUGUGUCUUGGCUAAUGUGUCUUGGCUAAGGUGUCUUGGCUAAGGUGUCUUGGCUAAUGUGUCUUGGCUAAAGUGUCUUGGCUUAGGUGUCUUGUCUAAUGUGUCUCGGCUAAGGUGUCUUGGUUAAGGUGUCUUGGCUAAGGUGUCUUGGCUAAGGUGUCUUGGCUAAUGUGUCUCGGCUAAUGUGUCUUGGCUUAGGUGUCUUGUCUAAUGUGUCUCGGCUAAGGUGUCUCGGCUAAUGUGUCUUGGCUAAGGUGUCUUGGCUAAGGUGUCUUGGGUAAUGUGUCUUGGCUAAUGUGUCUUGGCUAAGGUGUCUUGGCUAAGGUGUCUUGGCUAAUGUGUCUUGGCUAAUGUGUCUUGGCUAAGGUGUCUUGGCUAAGGUUUUUUGGCUAAUGUGUCUUGGCUAAGGUGUCUUGGCUAAGGUGUCUUGGCUAAUGUGUCUUGGCUAAUGUGUCUUGGCUAAAGUGUCUUGGCUUAGGUGUCUUGUCUAAUGUGUCUCGGCUAAGGUGUCUUGGUUAAGGUGUCUUGGCUAAGGUGUCUUGGCUAAGGUGUCUUGGCUAAUGUGUCUCGGCUAAUGUGUCUUGGCUAAGGUGUCUUGGCUAAGGUGUCUUGGCUUAUGUGUCUCGGCUAAUGUGUCUUGACUAAGGUGUCUUGGCUAAGGUGUCUUGGCUUAUGUGUCUCGGCUAAUGUGUCUUGGCUAAGGUGUCUUGGCUAAGGUGUCUUGGCUAAUGUGUCUUGGCUAAUGUGUCUUGGCUAAGGUGUCUUGGCUAAGGUGUCUUGGCUAAUGUGUCUUGGCUAAAGUGUCUUGGCUUAGGUGUCUUGUCUAAUGUGUCUCGGCUAAGGUGUCUUGGUUAAGGUGUCUUGGCUAAGGUGUCUUGGCUAAGGUGUCUUGGCUAAUGUGUCUCGGCUAAUGUGUCUUGGCUAAGGUGUCUUGGCUAAGGUGUCUUGGCUAAUGUGUCUUGGCUAAUGUGUCUUGGCUAAUGUGUCUCGGCUAAUGUGUCUUGGCUAAGGUGUCUUGGCUAAGGUGUCUUGGCUAAUGUGUCUCGGCUAAUGUGUCUUGGCUAAGGUGUCUUGGCUAAUGUGUCUCGGCUAAUGUGUCUUGGCUAAGGUGUCUUGGCUAAUGUGUCUUGGCUAAUGUGUCUUGACUAAGGUGUCUUGGCUAAUGUGUCUUGGCUAAGGUGUCUCGGCUAAUGUGUCUUGGCUAAGGUGUCUUGGCUAAGGUGUCUUGGCUAAUGUGUCUUGGCUAAGGUGUCUUGGCUAAUGUGUCUUGGCUAAUGUGUCUUGGCUAAGGUGUCUUGGCUAAGGUGUCUUGGCUAAUGUGUCUUGGCUAAUGUGUCUUGGCUAAGGUGUCUUGGCUAAGGUGUCUUGGCUAAUGUGUCUUGGCUAAUGUGUCUUGGCUAAUGUGUCUUUUCUAAGGUGCCUUGGCUAAGGUGUCUUGGCUAAUGUGUCUUGGCUAAUGUGUCUCGGCUAAUGUGUCUUGGCUAAGGUGUCUUGGCUAAGGUGUCUUGGCUAAUGUGUCUUGGCUAAGGUGUCUUGGCUAAUGUGUCUUGGCUAAUGUGUCUUGGCUAAGGUGUCUUGGCUAAGGUGUCUUGGCUAAUGUGUCUUGGCUAAUGUGUCUUGGCUAAGGUGUCUUGGCUAAUGUGUCUUGGCUAAUGUGUCUUGACUAAGGUGUCUUGGCUAAUGUGUCUCGGCUAAUGUGUCUUGGCUAAGGUGUCUUGGCUAAUGUGUCUCGGCUAAUGUGUCUUGGCUAAGGUGUCUUGGCUAAUGUGUCUUGGCUAAUGUGUCUUGACUAAGGUGUCUUGGCUAAUGUGUCUCGGCUAAUGUGUCUUGGCUAAGGUGUCUUGGCUAAUGUGUCUCGGCUAAUGUGUCUUGGCUAAGGUGUCUUGGCUAAUGUGUCUUGGCUAAUGUGUCUUGACUAAGGUGUCUUGGCUAAUGUGUCUUGGCUAAGGUGUCUUGGCUAAUGUGUCUUGGCUAAGGUGUCUUGGCUAAUGUGUCUUGGCUAAUGUGUCUUGACUAAGGUGUCUUGGCUAAUGUGUCUCGGCUAAUGUGUCUUGGCUAAGGUGUCUUGGCUAAUGUGUCUCGGCUAAUGUGUCUUGGCUAAGGUGUCUUGGCUAAUGUGUCUUGGCUAAUGUGUCUUGACUAAGGUGUCUUGGCUAAUGUGUCUCGGCUAAUGUGUCUUGGCUAAGGUGUCUUGGCUAAGGUGUCUUGGCUAAUGUGUCUUGGUCAAGGUGUCUUGGCUAAUGUGUCUUGGCUAAGGUGUCUUGGCUAAGGUGUCUUGUCCAAGGUGUCUUGGCUAAGGUGUCUUGGCUAAUGUGUCUUGGCUAAGGUGUCUUGGCUAAGGUGUCUUGGCUAAUGGGUCUUGGCUAAUGUGUCUUGGCUAAGGUGUCUUGGCUAAGGUGUCUUGGCUUAUGUGUCUCGGCUAAUGUGUCUUGGCUAAGGUGUCUUGGCUAAUGUGUCUUGGCUAAUGUGUCUCGGCUAAUGUGUCUUGGCUAAUGUGUCUUGGCUAAUGUGUCUUGGCUAAGGUGUCUUGGCUAAUGUGUCUUGGCUAAUGUGUCUCGGCUAAUGUGUCUUGGCUAAUGUGUCUUGGCUAAUGUGUCUUGGCUAAGGUGUCUUGGCUAAGGUGUCUUGGCUAAUG
This is a long non-coding RNA of Anopheles funestus (African malaria mosquito), 4206 nucleotides long. RefSeq lists it as uncharacterized. The record is from RefSeq and is a predicted model, not a curated record. The transcript is spliced from 4 exons. NCBI's taxonomy places the organism in Eukaryota, Metazoa, Arthropoda, Insecta, Diptera, Culicidae.